RNAcentral lists this microRNA precursor (103 nucleotides) under Marmota monax (woodchuck). The record is from RNAcentral. Lineage: Eukaryota; Metazoa; Chordata; Mammalia; Rodentia; Sciuridae.
AGUGGAAUAACUGGAUCAAAUGGUCAUUCCAUUCCAGAUUUUCUGAAGAAUCUCCAUACUGCUUUUCAGAGUGGUUAUACCAAUUUGCAGUCCCAUCAGCAAU